GAUGAAGAACGUAGCGAAAUGCGAUAAGUAAUGUGAAUUGCAGAAUUCAGUGAAUCAUCGAAUCUUUGAACGCACCUUGCGCCCUUUGGCUAUUCCGAAGGGCAUGCCUGUUUGAGUAUCAUGAACACCUCAACUCUCAUGGCUUGCCGUGAUGAGCUUGGACUUUUGGGGGUCUUGCUGGCCUGUGGUCAGCUCCUCUCAAAUGAAUUAGCCUGCCAGUGUUUGGUGGCAUCACAGGUGUGAUAACUAUCUACGCUUGUGGUUUUCCACCAGGUAACCUUCAGUGAUGAAGGUUCGCUGGGGCUCAUAAACGUCUCUCCUCAGUGAGGACAGCUCUUUGAACGUUUGAUCUCAAAUCAGGUAGGACUACCCGCUGAACUUAAGCAUAUCAAUAAGCGGAGGA
Molecule: unclassified non-coding RNA, 403 nt
Filed under: soil metagenome
Description: partial contains 5.8S ribosomal RNA, internal transcribed spacer 2, and large subunit ribosomal RNA
Rfam family: 5.8S ribosomal RNA (bases 1-121)
Source: RNAcentral